This 255-nucleotide ribosomal RNA is filed under the name uncultured bacterium. RNAcentral's name for it is "partial 16S ribosomal RNA". It matches the Rfam family "Bacterial small subunit ribosomal RNA", at positions 524 to 776 of the family's 1533-position model. The record is from RNAcentral.
UACGAAGGGGGCUAGCGUUGUUCGGAAUUACUGGGCGUAAAGCGCACGUAGGCGGACUUUUAAGUCAGGGGGUGAAAUCCCGGGGCUCAACCUCGGAACUGCCUUUGAUACUGGAAGUCUUGAGUAUGGAAGAGGUAAGUGGAAUUGCGAGUGUAGAGGUGAAAUUCGUAGAUAUUCGCAGGAACACCAGUGGCGAAGGCGGCUUACUGGUCCAUUACUGGACGCUGAGGUGCGAAAGCGUGGGGAGCAAACAGG